Molecule: ribosomal RNA, 253 nt
Filed under: uncultured bacterium
Lineage: Bacteria
Description: partial 16S ribosomal RNA
Rfam family: Bacterial small subunit ribosomal RNA
Source: RNAcentral
UACGUAGGGGGCAAGCGUUGUCCGGAAUCAUUGGGCGUAAAGCGCGUGUAAGCGGUUCGGUAAGUCUGCUGUGAAAGUCCAGGGCUCAACCCUGGGAUGCCGGUGGAUACUGUCGGACUAGAGUACGGAAGAGGCGAGUGGAAUUCCCGGUGUAGCGGUGAAAUGCGCAGAUAUCGGGAGGAACACCAAUUGCGAAGGCAGCUCGCUGGGACGUCACUGACGCUGAGACGCGAAAGCGUGGGGAGCAAACAGG